RNAcentral lists this ribosomal RNA (253 nucleotides) under uncultured bacterium. Its description in RNAcentral is "partial 16S ribosomal RNA". It matches the Rfam family "Bacterial small subunit ribosomal RNA", at positions 524 to 776 of the family's 1533-position model. The record is from RNAcentral.
UACGUAGGGGGCAAGCGUUGUCCGGAAUCAUUGGGCGUAAAGAGCGCGUAGGCGGUCCGGUAAGUCCGCUCUGAAAGUCCGGGGCUCAACCCCGGGAGGCGGGCGGAUACUGUCGGGCUAGAGUCCGGAAGAGGCGAGUGGAAUUCCUGGUGUAGCGGUGAAAUGCGCAGAUAUCAGGAGGAACACCAAUGGCGAAGGCAGCUCGCUGGGACGGUACUGACACUGAGGCGCGAAAGCGUGGGGAGCGAACAGG